UACGAAGGGGGCUAGCGUUGCUCGGAAUCACUGGGCGUAAAGCGCACGUAGGCGGAUCUUUAAGUCAGAGGUGAAAUCCCAAGGCUCAACCUUGGAACUGCCUUUGAUACUGGGGAUCUCGAGUCCGGAAGAGGUGAGUGGAACUGCGAGUGUAGAGGUGAAAUUCGUAGAUAUUCGCAAGAACACCAGUGGCGAAGGCGGCUCACUGGUCCGGUACUGACGCUGAGGCGCGAAAGCGUGGGGAGCGAACAGG
RNAcentral lists this ribosomal RNA (253 nucleotides) under uncultured bacterium. RNAcentral's name for it is "partial 16S ribosomal RNA". It matches the Rfam family "Bacterial small subunit ribosomal RNA", at positions 524 to 776 of the family's 1533-position model. The record is from RNAcentral.